This 482-nucleotide ribosomal RNA is filed under the name uncultured bacterium. Its description in RNAcentral is "partial 16S ribosomal RNA". It matches the Rfam family "Bacterial small subunit ribosomal RNA", at positions 30 to 507 of the family's 1533-position model. The record is from RNAcentral.
AUUGAACGCUGGCGGCAUGCUUUACACAUGCAAGUCGAACGGUAACAGGCCGCAAUUUCCUGACGAGUGUCAGAGGGGGGAGGAAGACUACGAAACGGGCCCAGUCGUUGUGGGUAACUACUCGAAUGGGGAACUAAUACCUCAUACGGGCUAUUAAUUAAAACGGGGGAGCUUAAAACCUCAAGCGGUUGUAGCGGUCGCUGUCAGAUUAGGUAGUUGGGGAUGUAACGGCUGACCAAGCCAACGAUCAGUAGCCGGACUGAGAGGACGACCAGCCACACUGGAACUGAGACACGGCCCAGACUCCUACGGGAGGCAGCAGUGGGGAAUUUUGCACAAUGGGCGCAAGCCUGAUCCAGCAAUGCCGCGUGCAGGAAGAAGGCCUUCGGAUUGUAAACUGCUUUUGUUCGGAACGAACAGAUUCUGGUUAAUCCCCGGAGAUAAUGACGGUACCGUAAGAAUAAGCACCGGCUAACUACGUG